This 675-nucleotide ribosomal RNA is filed under the name uncultured bacterium. Its description in RNAcentral is "bacterial SSU rRNA". It matches the Rfam family "Bacterial small subunit ribosomal RNA", at positions 24 to 688 of the family's 1533-position model. The record is from RNAcentral.
UCAGAUUGAACGCUGGCGGCAGGCCUAACACAUGCAAGUCGAGCGGUAACAUUUCUAAGCUUGCUUAGAAGAUGACGAGCGGCGGACGGGUGAGUAAUACUUGGGGAUCUGCCUGAUGGCGGGGGACAACCACUGGAAACGGUGGCUAAUACCGCAUAAUACCUAUGGGUCAAAGUGUGGGACCUUCGGGCCACACGCCAUCAGAUGAACCCAAGUGAGAUUAGCUGGUUGGUAAGGUAACGGCUUACCAAGGCGACGAUCUCUAGCUGGUCUGAGAGGAUGAUCAGCCACACUGGGACUGAGACACGGCCCAGACUCCUACGGGAGGCAGCAGUGGGGAAUAUUGGACAAUGGGGGCAACCCUGAUCCAGCCAUGCCGCGUGUGUGAAGAAGGCCUUCGGGUUGUAAAGCACUUUCAGUGGUGAGGAAGGUGGUGUCGUUAAUAGCGGCAUCAAUUGACGUUAGCCACAGAAGAAGCACCGGCUAACUCCGUGCCAGCAGCCGCGGUAAUACGGAGGGUGCGAGCGUUAAUCGGAAUUACUGGGCGUAAAGCGCACGUAGGCGGUAUGUUAAGCAAGAUGUGAAAGCCCAGAGCUCAACUCUGGAAUAGCAUUUUGAACUGGCAUGCUAGAGUUUUGGAGAGGGUGGUAGAAUUUCCAGUGUAGCGGUGAAAUG